GAUGAACGCUAGCGGCAGGCUUAAUACAUGCAAGUUGAGGGGCAGCAUGAUAUACGCGAGUAUAUUGAUGGCGACCGGCGGACGGGUGAGUAAUAGGUAGGAGACCUACCUCAUACAGGGGGAUAGCAUAGAGAAAUCUGUGGUAAUACCCCAUGAGGUUAUAUGAAUAGAGGCAUAUAAUCAAAGCAUAAGCGAUUAUGCGGUAUGAGAGGGGCCUACUGACCAUUAGCUAGUUGGUGAGGUAAGGGCUCACCAAGGCGAAGAUGGUUAGGGGUUUUGAGAGAGAGACCCCCCACAUUGGAACUGAGAGACGGUCCAGACUCCUACGGGAGGCAGCAGUAGGGAAUAUUGGGCAAUGGGCGAAAGCCUGACCCAGCCAUGCCGCGUGAAGGAGACGGCCUUAUGGGUUGUAAACUUCUUUACUACGCGAAUAGAGGUUAGACGAGAUACUAAUAGGAAGGUAGUGUAAGUAAAAGCACCGGUAACUCCGU
Molecule: ribosomal RNA, 491 nt
Filed under: uncultured bacterium
Lineage: Bacteria
Description: bacterial SSU rRNA
Rfam family: Bacterial small subunit ribosomal RNA
Source: RNAcentral